RNAcentral lists this ribosomal RNA (885 nucleotides) under Berkleasmium sp. BCC 17003. Its description in RNAcentral is "eukaryotic LSU rRNA". It matches the Rfam family "Eukaryotic large subunit ribosomal RNA", at positions 61 to 964 of the family's 3401-position model. Lineage: Eukaryota; Fungi; Ascomycota; Dothideomycetes; Tubeufiales; Tubeufiaceae. The record is from RNAcentral.
GAAACCAACAGGGAUUGCCCUAGUAACGGCGAGUGAAGCGGCAAGAGCUCAAAUUUGAAAUCUGGCUCCUUUGGAGUCCGAGUUGUAAUUUGUAGAGGGUGCUUUGGUGUCGGCUAUGGCCUAAGUUCCUUGGAACAGGACGUCACAGAGGGUGAGAACCCCGUAUGUGGCUGCUAGCCUUCACCAUGUAAAGCCCCUUCGACGAGUCGAGUUGUUUGGGAAUGCAGCUCUAAAUGGGAGGUAAAUUUCUUCUAAAGCUAAAUAUUGGCCAGAGACCGAUAGCGCACAAGUAGAGUGAUCGAAAGAUGAAAAGCACUUUGGAAAGAGAGUCAAAAAGCACGUGAAAUUGUUGAAAGGGAAGCGCUUGCAGCCAGACUUGCUCGUAGUUGCUCAUCCGAGCUUUUGCUCGGUGCACUCUUCUGCGAGCAGGCCAGCAUCAGUCCGGGCGGUUGGAUAAAGGCUCUGGGAAUGUAGCUCUCUUCGGGGAGUGUUAUAGCCCAGGGUGUCAUGCAACCAGUCUGGACUGAGGUCCGCGCAUCUGCUAGGAUGCUGGCGUAAUGGCUGUAAGCGGCCCGUCUUGAAACACGGACCAAGGAGUCUAACAUCUAUGCGAGUGUUUGGGUGUCAAGCCCGGGCGCGCAAUGAAAGUGAACGGAGGUGGGAACCCUUCGGGGCGCACCAUCGACCGAUCCUGAUGUCUUCGGAUGGAUUUGAGUAAGAGCAUAGCUGUUGGGACCCGAAAGAUGGUGAACUAUGCCUGAAUAGGGUGAAGCCAGAGGAAACUCUGGUGGAGGCUCGCAGCGGUUCUGACGUGCAAAUCGAUCGUCAAAUUUGGGCAUAGGGGCGAAAGACUAAUCGAACUAUCUAGUAGCUGGUUCCUGCCGA